Non-coding RNA from Angiostrongylus cantonensis (rat lungworm), 46 nucleotides. The record is from Rfam. NCBI's taxonomy places the organism in Eukaryota, Metazoa, Nematoda, Chromadorea, Rhabditida, Metastrongylidae.
CAAACGGCCCUUUUUAGGGCCACAAUCGCAUUCGACUACAUGACUU